This 1514-nucleotide ribosomal RNA is filed under the name Salmonella enterica subsp. enterica serovar Infantis. RNAcentral describes it as "bacterial SSU rRNA". It matches the Rfam family "Bacterial small subunit ribosomal RNA". The record is from RNAcentral. Lineage: Bacteria; Pseudomonadati; Pseudomonadota; Gammaproteobacteria; Enterobacterales; Enterobacteriaceae.
GAGUUUGAUCAUGGCUCAGAUUGAACGCUGGCGGCAGGCCUAACACAUGCAAGUCGAACGGUAGCACAGAGAGCUUGCUCUCGGGUGACGAGUGGCGGACGGGUGAGUAAUGUCUGGGAAACUGCCUGAUGGAGGGGGAUAACUACUGGAAACGGUGGCUAAUACCGCAUAACGUCGCAAGACCAAAGAGGGGGACCUUCGGGCCUCUUGCCAUCAGAUGUGCCCAGAUGGGAUUAGCUUGUUGGUGAGGUAACGGCUCACCAAGGCGACGAUCCCUAGCUGGUCUGAGAGGAUGACCAGCCACACUGGAACUGAGACACGGUCCAGACUCCUACGGGAGGCAGCAGUGGGGAAUAUUGCACAAUGGGCGCAAGCCUGAUGCAGCCAUGCCGCGUGUAUGAAGAAGGCCUUCGGGUUGUAAAGUACUUUCAGCGGGGAGGAAGGUGUUGUGGUUAAUAACCGCAGCAAUUGACGUUACCCGCAGAAGAAGCACCGGCUAACUCCGUGCCAGCAGCCGCGGUAAUACGGAGGGUGCAAGCGUUAAUCGGAAUUACUGGGCGUAAAGCGCACGCAGGCGGUCUGUCAAGUCGGAUGUGAAAUCCCCGGGCUCAACCUGGGAACUGCAUUCGAAACUGGCAGGCUUGAGUCUUGUAGAGGGGGGUAGAAUUCCAGGUGUAGCGGUGAAAUGCGUAGAGAUCUGGAGGAAUACCGGUGGCGAAGGCGGCCCCCUGGACAAAGACUGACGCUCAGGUGCGAAAGCGUGGGGAGCAAACAGGAUUAGAUACCCUGGUAGUCCACGCCGUAAACGAUGUCUACUUGGAGGUUGUGCCCUUGAGGCGUGGCUUCCGGAGCUAACGCGUUAAGUAGACCGCCUGGGGAGUACGGCCGCAAGGUUAAAACUCAAAUGAAUUGACGGGGGCCCGCACAAGCGGUGGAGCAUGUGGUUUAAUUCGAUGCAACGCGAAGAACCUUACCUGGUCUUGACAUCCACAGAAGAAUCCAGAGAUGGAUUUGUGCCUUCGGGAACUGUGAGACAGGUGCUGCAUGGCUGUCGUCAGCUCGUGUUGUGAAAUGUUGGGUUAAGUCCCGCAACGAGCGCAACCCUUAUCCUUUGUUGCCAGCGGUCCGGCCGGGAACUCAAAGGAGACUGCCAGUGAUAAACUGGAGGAAGGUGGGGAUGACGUCAAGUCAUCAUGGCCCUUACGACCAGGGCUACACACGUGCUACAAUGGCGCAUACAAAGAGAAGCGACCUCGCGAGAGCAAGCGGACCUCAUAAAGUGCGUCGUAGUCCGGAUUGGAGUCUGCAACUCGACUCCAUGAAGUCGGAAUCGCUAGUAAUCGUGGAUCAGAAUGCCACGGUGAAUACGUUCCCGGGCCUUGUACACACCGCCCGUCACACCAUGGGAGUGGGUUGCAAAAGAAGUAGGUAGCUUAACCUUCGGGAGGGCGCUUACCACUUUGUGAUUCAUGACUGGGGUGAAGUCGUAACAAGGUAACCGUAGGGGAACCUGC